GCCUCGUGAAUUCAUCUCCGGGGGUAGAGCACUGUUUCGGCAAGGGGGUCAUCCCGACUUACCAACCCGAUGCAAACUGCGAAUACCGGAGAAUGUUAUCACGGGAGACACACGGCGGGGGCUAACGUCCGUCGUGAAGAGGGAAACAACCCAGACCGCCAGCUAAGGUCCCAAAGUCAUGGUUAAGUGGGAAACGAUGUGGGAAGGCCCAGACAGCCAGGAUGUUGGCUUAGAAGCAGCCAUCAUUUAAAGAAAGCGUAAUAGCUCACUGGUCGAGUCGGCCUGCGCGGAAGAUGUAACGGGGCUAAACCAUGCACCGAAGCUGCGGCAGCGACGCUUAUGCGUUGUUGGGUAGGGGAGCGUUCUGUAAGCCUGCGAAGGUGUGCUGUGAGGCAUGCUGGAGGUAUCAGAAGUGCGAAUGCUGACAUAAGUAACGAUAA
RNAcentral lists this ribosomal RNA (440 nucleotides) under Escherichia coli. RNAcentral's name for it is "bacterial LSU rRNA". It matches the Rfam family "Bacterial large subunit ribosomal RNA", at positions 879 to 1315 of the family's 2925-position model. Lineage: Bacteria; Pseudomonadati; Pseudomonadota; Gammaproteobacteria; Enterobacterales; Enterobacteriaceae. The record is from RNAcentral.